RNAcentral lists this ribosomal RNA (584 nucleotides) under Bipolaris sorokiniana. RNAcentral describes it as "eukaryotic LSU rRNA". It matches the Rfam family "Eukaryotic large subunit ribosomal RNA", at positions 1 to 588 of the family's 3401-position model. Lineage: Eukaryota; Fungi; Ascomycota; Dothideomycetes; Pleosporales; Pleosporaceae. The record is from RNAcentral.
UUGACCUCGGAUCAGGUAGGGAUACCCGCUGAACUUAAGCAUAUCAAUAAGCGGAGGAAAAGAAACCAACAGGGAUUGCCCUAGUAACGGCGAGUGAAGCGGCAACAGCUCAAAUUUGAAAUCUGGCUCUUUCAGAGUCCGAGUUGUAAUUUGCAGAGGGCGCUUUGGCUUUGGCAGCGGUCCAAGUUCCUUGGAACAGGACGUCACAGAGGGUGAGAAUCCCGUACGUGGUCGCUAGCUAUUGCCGUGUAAAGCCCCUUCGACGAGUCGAGUUGUUUGGGAAUGCAGCUCUAAAUGGGAGGUAAAUUUCUUCUAAAGCUAAAUAUUGGCCAGAGACCGAUAGCGCACAAGUAGAGUGAUCGAAAGAUGAAAAGCACUUUGGAAAGAGAGUCAAACAGCACGUGAAAUUGUUGAAAGGGAAGCGCUUGCAGCCAGACUUGCUUGCAGUUGCUCAUCCGGGCUUUUGCCCGGUGCACUCUUCUGUAGGCAGGCCAGCAUCAGUUUGGGCGGUGGGAUAAAGGUCUCUGUCACGUACCUCUCUUCGGGGAGGCCUUAUAGGGGAGACGACAUACCACCAGCCUAGA